This 253-nucleotide ribosomal RNA is filed under the name uncultured bacterium. Its description in RNAcentral is "partial 16S ribosomal RNA". It matches the Rfam family "Bacterial small subunit ribosomal RNA", at positions 524 to 776 of the family's 1533-position model. The record is from RNAcentral.
GACGAGUCUGACGAACGUUAUUCGGAAUUACUGGGCUUAAAGGGUGCGUAGGCGGUAUGGUAAGUCGGAUGUGAAAUACCUUAGCUUAACUAGGGAACUGCACUCGAUACUACCGUGCUAGAGUAAGACAGAGGUGAGUGGAACUGAGGGUGGAGCGGUGAAAUGCGUUGAUAUCCUCAGGAACACCGGUGGCGAAGGCGACUCACUGGGUCUUUACUGACGCUGAUGCACGAAAGCUAGGGUAGCAAACGGG